UUCCAUUGGCUGAUGGGCUAACCCCUCUGU
Molecule: non-coding RNA, 30 nt
Filed under: Rattus norvegicus (Norway rat)
Lineage: Eukaryota; Metazoa; Chordata; Mammalia; Rodentia; Muridae
Source: RNAcentral